AGAGUUUGAUCAUGGCUCAGGAUGAACGCUGGCGGUAUGCCUAACACAUGCAAGUCGAACGAUGUCUUCGGACAUAGUGGCGGACGGGUGAGUAACGCGUGAGAAUCUGCCUCUAGGAUGGGGAUAACGGUUGGAAACGACCGCUAACACCCAAUAUGCCGUAAGGUGAAAAAUUUAUUGCCUGGAGAGGAGCUCGCGUCUGAUUAGCUAGUUGGUGGGGUAAGAGCUCACCAAGGCUUCGAUCAGUAGCUGGUCUGANAGGAUGAGCAGCCACACUGGGACUGANACACGGCCCAGACUCCUACGGGAGGCAGCAGUGGGGAAUUUUCCGCAAUGGGCGAAAGCCUGACGGAGCAAUACCGCGUGAGGGAGGAAUGCCUUUGGGUUGUAAACCUCUUUUCUCAGGGAAGAAGAUCUGACGGUACCUGAGGAAUAAGUAUCGGCUAACUCCGUGCCAGCAGCCGCGGUAAUACGGAGGAUGCAAGCGUUAUCCGGAAUCAUUGGGCGUAAAGCGUCCGCAGGUGGUUUCCAAAGUCUGCUGUUAAAGACUGGAGCUCAACUCCGGAACGGCGGUGGAAACUUGGAAACUAGAGUUCGGUAGGGGUAGCAGGAAUUCCCAGUGUAGCGGCGAAAUGCGUAGAUAUUGGGAAGAACAUCGGUGGCGAAGGCGUGCUACUGGACCGUAACUGACACUCAGGGACGAAAGCUAGGGGAGCGAAAGGGAUUAGAUACCCCUGUAGUCCUAGCUGUAAACGAUGGAAACUAGGUGUGGCUUGUAUCGACCCGAGCCG
RNAcentral lists this ribosomal RNA (791 nucleotides) under uncultured marine microorganism. Its description in RNAcentral is "bacterial SSU rRNA". It matches the Rfam family "Bacterial small subunit ribosomal RNA", at positions 8 to 843 of the family's 1533-position model. The record is from RNAcentral.